AACUUCUUCAACUUGGCGGUGCGACUCCAGCAUUGUCCAACCCGGAUCAUGCAGUGGAAGAGCUCAGCAUCCCGAGCAAGAUUUUGGAUUUCGUUUUGCAAAAUUUACCGGCCGGGGGCGAAAUGGGCGAAAUUCGGUUUUUCGGAAAAUUUCGGACGAAAUGGCAAACCAAAAUUUGAAUAAAAUCUGACCAAAAUUUGCACAGCCUUUUUUUAUAUAAACUAGAACAAUAAUAUACAGCAGAUUUUUUAUCAACAUAUACAUGUAAAGCCAUACAACAGCAUCUACGUAUCAAAACACUAUAUAUCAGACUUGAACAUUAGAUUAACAAUAUUAACCAUCUAGACUAGAACAUCAGAUAAAACUCCAGUAGAAUCUAUGCAUCACGGCAGCCUCAACCUCAUGUAGCCGCGCUCCACGGAGUUGCUGCGAUCGAUAGGGCAGGGCCAAGGACGGACGUUACCAUGGCCAGGACCUUCAUCCUCCAUGGGAAAGAUAAAAACGAAGAGGGGUGCUUGAGGAGGACAAGGCUGGGCAGACAUGGAGAGCUGGAAGAGGAGGAGGAGGCUAGGCAGAGGCGGCGCUGCCCCGUCUCCCUCGGCUCGGCCUGGGUUGCCUGCAGCUGCCGCACAGAAAACUGGUGACGGGGAAAACGAG
RNAcentral lists this long non-coding RNA (657 nucleotides) under Hordeum vulgare. RNAcentral describes it as "long non-coding RNA (HVUL_LNC020424)". Lineage: Eukaryota; Viridiplantae; Streptophyta; Magnoliopsida; Poales; Poaceae. The record is from RNAcentral.